AGAGUUUGAUCCUGGCUCAGAAUGAACGCUGGCGGCGUGCUUAACACAUGCAAGUCGAACGAUGAAGCCUAGCUUGCUAGGUGGAUUAGUGGCGCACGGGUGAGUAAUAUAUAGAUAAUGUACCUCUUAGUCUGGGAUAGCCAUUGGAAACGAUGAUUAAUACUAGAUAUUCCUUCUAAUAGUAAUAUUAGUUGGGAAAGUUUUUUCGCUAAGAGAUCAGUCUAUAUCCCAUCAGCUUGUUGGUAGUGUAAGAGACUACCAAGGCAAUGACGGGUAGCGGGUUUGAGAGGAUGAUCCGCCACACUGGUACUGAGACACGGACCAGACUCCUACGGGAGGCAGCAGUGAGGAAUAUUGCACAAUGGAGGAAACUCUGAUGCAGCAACGCCGCGUGGAGGAUGACGCAUUUCGGUGUGUAAACUCCUUUUAUAUGUCAAGAAAA
RNAcentral lists this ribosomal RNA (442 nucleotides) under uncultured Campylobacterota bacterium. RNAcentral describes it as "bacterial SSU rRNA". It matches the Rfam family "Bacterial small subunit ribosomal RNA", at positions 8 to 451 of the family's 1533-position model. The record is from RNAcentral. Lineage: Bacteria; Pseudomonadati; Campylobacterota.